Molecule: transfer RNA, 72 nt
Filed under: Ophiarachnella infernalis
Lineage: Eukaryota; Metazoa; Echinodermata; Ophiuroidea; Amphilepidida; Ophiodermatidae
Description: tRNA-Asn
Rfam family: tRNA
About the family: Transfer RNA (tRNA) molecules are approximately 80 nucleotides in length. Their secondary structure includes four short double-helical elements and three loops (D, anti-codon, and T loops).
Source: RNAcentral
UAGGUUGAAGUUCAUAGUUUGAGCGUCUGGCCGUUAACCAGGAAGAGGUGGGAUAAAAACCUGUCAACCUAG